AGUAUAGUAGCCAGAACAUCAGACUAUGAUUCUGAAGAUCAGGGUUCAAACCCCUG
Molecule: transfer RNA, 56 nt
Filed under: Anolis carolinensis (green anole)
Lineage: Eukaryota; Metazoa; Chordata; Lepidosauria; Squamata; Anolidae
Rfam family: tRNA
About the family: Transfer RNA (tRNA) molecules are approximately 80 nucleotides in length.
Source: Rfam by way of RNAcentral